CCAACAUCUCCAAAGAAAAGGCCCCAAGCCUAGUCCUGCUGGCUAAGAUUACUUAAGAUUACUUUUAUUUUGCCUUUAAAUGAGAGAGAGAGAGAGAGAGAGAGAGAGAGAGAGCACCUGUACAUGAGAAGAGAAAUGGACAGAGGACAUACUGGAGGCUGAACACUGCACUUGGAGGAGGGGUAGUGGCUUUCACUGCCUGGUCUCCAGUGUGGUCAGGUCUCACUGGGCUUGGAACUGUGCACUUGCCUGUUCAAAAGGCAAGAGGCAGAGGAGUGGCCAUCUUCAGGCCUCCAGGAUCCAGGGAAGGGAGGCAGAGAGGGAAGGUAGAGGUUUGUUGAGAGAAAUGGAGGAGGAAAAUGGAACCACAGAGGGGGCACGUGCGGAGAGAAGCUCCUGUCUGGGCAGAAGCUGAGGUGCGUCCAUGGUGUUGGAGGUGUGUCCAUGUUGGUGGAGGCAAGUCCAUGACACUGGAGGCAUGCCUAUGGCAUUGAAGACGUGUUCAUGAUGUUAGGUGUGUCCAUGGUGUUGGAGGUGUGCCAUGGUGUUAGAGGUGUGUCCAUGGUGUUAGAAGUGUGUCCAUGGUGUUGGAGGUGUGCCCAUGGUGUUGGAGGUGUGUCCAUGGUGUUGGAGGUGUGCCAUGGUGUUGGAGGUGUGCCAUGGUGUUGGAGGUGUGUCCAUGGUGUUGGAGGUGUGCCGUGGUGUUGGAGGUGUGUCCAUGGUGUUGGAGAUGUGCCCAUGGUGUUGGAGAUGUGUCCACGGUGUUGGAGGUGUGUCAUGUUGUUGGAGGCGUGUCCAUGGUGUUGGAGGUGUGUCCAUGGUGUUGGAGAUGUGCCCAUGGUGUUGGAGGCGCGUCCAUGGUGUUGGAGGUGCGUCCAUGGUGUUGGAGGUGUGUCAUGGUGUUGGAGGUGUGUCCAUGGGGUUGGAGGUGUGUCCAUGGUGUUGGAGAUGUGCCCAUGGUGUUGGAGGCGUGUCCAUGGUGUUGGAGGUGUGUCCAUGGUGUUGGAGAUGUGCCCAUGGUGUUGGAGGCGCGUCCAUGGUGUUGGAGGUGCGUCCAUGGUGUUGGAGGUGUGUCAUGGUGUUGGAGGUGUGUCCAUGGGGUUGGAGGUGUGUCCAUGGUGUUGGAGAUGUGCCAUGGUGUUGGAGGUGUGCCAUGGUGUUAGAAGUGUGUCCAUGGUGUUGGAGAUGUGCCCAUGGUGUUGGAGGUGUGUCCAUGGUGUUGGAGGUGUGUCCAUGGUGUUGGAGGUGUGCCAUGGUGUUGGAGGUGUGU
RNAcentral lists this long non-coding RNA (1270 nucleotides) under Macaca mulatta (Rhesus monkey). RNAcentral describes it as "lncRNA (ENSMMUG00000058191.1)". The record is from RNAcentral. Lineage: Eukaryota; Metazoa; Chordata; Mammalia; Primates; Cercopithecidae.